CCUUGACCUCAAAUCGGGUGAGACUACCCGCUGAACUUAAGCAUAUCAAUAAG
RNAcentral lists this ribosomal RNA (53 nucleotides) under Russula paludosa. RNAcentral describes it as "partial 25S large subunit ribosomal RNA". Lineage: Eukaryota; Fungi; Basidiomycota; Agaricomycetes; Russulales; Russulaceae. The record is from RNAcentral.